AUUUAAAUAGUUUAAGGAAAAUAUUGAUUUGUGGAGUCAAAGUUAUAUAAAAUAUUUUAAAUA
RNAcentral lists this transfer RNA (63 nucleotides) under Platystomos albinus. Its description in RNAcentral is "tRNA-His". The record is from RNAcentral. Lineage: Eukaryota; Metazoa; Arthropoda; Insecta; Coleoptera; Anthribidae.